UAACAGCUCUGAUUUCUCAUGACUCACACUCUUCUGAAAAGAUUCAGGAAGAGGCUUAGGAAGGCCAUGUUGUCUGUCUUCCUGAGACUACACCUACUGAAAGAAGUUCUCAAGUUCUGAUUGAGUUCUAAAAGGUUUAGAAGAUUGGAAUUCUUCAUAGGCAAAAAGAGAAAAGAAAGACAUUCUUGAUUUUGGUGACUAGAGUUGUAGAUUCUGGAAAGCUUUGCCACUAAAAUUGACAAACCAGAUGCUCAUCACUGGCCAAUCACGCUGAUUCUUAAUGCCGGCACCAUGGCCCGGCACUGUCACAUUUUCCAAGGAACCUGCUGGAGCUCCUGUGGAAGCUUCUCCUUGGGCCGAUGAAGUCCCUUAGCUGGUAGGCCCUUCUUUAGUCACCACAGGAUGCCUGCCAUUCAUGAACAGGAAGGAGAGGAUGGGCUUUGAAUAAAAAACAGGAAUAUCCAGCCACUGGUGCACAGCCAUUGCCACUUGUGCCCCCAUGGGAUCUUGUCAACUCCAGUAUGUCCCCUCAGCACUAUCUGGCAUAAUAAA
RNAcentral lists this small RNA (552 nucleotides) under Pongo abelii (Sumatran orangutan). RNAcentral's name for it is "processed transcript". Lineage: Eukaryota; Metazoa; Chordata; Mammalia; Primates; Hominidae. The record is from RNAcentral.